GGGCGAUUAGCUCAGCGGUAGAGCGCUUCGUUCACAUCGAAGAUGUCAGGGGUUCAAAUCCCUUAUCGCCCACCA
This 75-nucleotide transfer RNA is filed under the name Gemmobacter lanyuensis. Its description in RNAcentral is "tRNA-Val". It matches the Rfam family "tRNA". Rfam says of the family: Transfer RNA (tRNA) molecules are approximately 80 nucleotides in length. Their secondary structure includes four short double-helical elements and three loops (D, anti-codon, and T loops). The record is from RNAcentral. Lineage: Bacteria; Pseudomonadati; Pseudomonadota; Alphaproteobacteria; Rhodobacterales; Paracoccaceae. RNAcentral also lists the same sequence under 6 other names.